GAACUGCGAUAAGUAAUGUGAAUUGCAGAAUUCAGUGAAUCAUCGAGUCUUUGAACGCACAUUGCGCCCCCUGGCAUUCCGGGGGCAUGCCUGUCCGAGCGUCAUUGCUGCCCUUCAAGCCCGGCUUGUGUGUUGCGUCGUCGUCCCCUCCGGGGGACGGGCCCGAAAGGCAGCGGCGGCACCGCGUCCGGUCCUCGAGCGUAUGGGGCUUUGUCACCCGCUCGAUAAGGACCGGCCGGGCGCCAGCCGGCGUCUCCAACCUUUUUUUCUCAGGUUGACCUCGGAUCAGGUAGGGAUACCCGCUGAACUUAAGC
This 314-nucleotide unclassified non-coding RNA is filed under the name plant metagenome. RNAcentral's name for it is "partial contains 5.8S ribosomal RNA, internal transcribed spacer 2, and large subunit ribosomal RNA". The stretch from base 1 to 104 matches the Rfam family "5.8S ribosomal RNA", at positions 50 to 154 of the family's 154-position model. The record is from RNAcentral.